GGGGAAUAUUGCACAAUGGAGGAAACUCUGAUGCAGCGAUGCCGCGUGAGGGAAGAAGGUUUUAGGAUUGUAAACCUCUGUCUUCAGGGACGAAAAAAGGACGGUACCUGAGGAGGAAGCUCCGGCUAACUACGUGCCAGCAGCCGCGGUAAUACGUAGGGAGCGAGCGUUGUCCGGAAUUACUGGGUGUAAAGGGAGCGUAGGCGGGAUCGCAAGUCAGAUGUGAAAACUAUGGGCUUAACCCAUAAACUGCAUUUGAAACUGUGGUUCUUGAGUGAAGUAGAGGUAAGCGGAAUUCCUAGUGUAGCGGUGAAAUGCGUAGAUAUUAGGAGGAACAUCAGUGGCGAAGGCGGCUUACUGGGCUUUAACUGACGCUGAGGCUCGAAAGCGUGGGGAGCAAACAGGAUUAGAUACCCUGGUAGUCCACGCCGUAAACGAUGACUACUAGGUGUGGGGGGACUGACCCCUUCCGUGCCGCAGCAAACGCAAUAAGUAAUCCACCUGGGGAGUACGACCGCAAGGUUGAAACUCAAAGGAAUUGACGGGGGCCCGCACAAGCAGUGGAGUAUGUGGAUUAAUUCGAAGCAACGCGAAGAACCUUACCAGGUCUUGACAUCGUAUGCAUAGCUCAGAGAUGAGUGAAAUCUCUUCGGAGACAUAUAGACAGGUGGUGCAUGGUUGUCGUCAGCUCGUGUCGUGAGAUGUUGGGUUAAGUCCCGCAACGAGCGCAACCCUUACUGUUAAUUGCUACGCAAGAGCACUCUAGCAGGACUGCCGUUGACAAAACGGAGGAAGGUGGGGAUGACGUCAAAUCAUCAUGCCCCUUAUGACCUGGGCCUCACACGUACUACAAUGGCUGUAAACAGAGGGAAGCAAAGCCGCGAGGUAGAGCGAACCCCUAAAAGCAGUCUUAGUUCGGAUUGUAGGCUGCAACCCGCCUACAUGAAGUCGGAAUUGCUAGUAAUCGCAGAUCAGCAUGCUGCGGUGAAUACGUUCCCG
This 999-nucleotide ribosomal RNA is filed under the name uncultured bacterium. Its description in RNAcentral is "bacterial SSU rRNA". It matches the Rfam family "Bacterial small subunit ribosomal RNA", at positions 356 to 1376 of the family's 1533-position model. The record is from RNAcentral. RNAcentral also lists the same sequence under 1 other name.